RNAcentral lists this ribosomal RNA (443 nucleotides) under Mediodactylus kotschyi (Kotschy's gecko). Its description in RNAcentral is "LSU rRNA". It matches the Rfam family "Archaeal large subunit ribosomal RNA", at positions 1904 to 2554 of the family's 2987-position model. The record is from RNAcentral. Lineage: Eukaryota; Metazoa; Chordata; Lepidosauria; Squamata; Gekkonidae.
AAAAACAUCGCCUUUAGCCCCACAAGUAUUAAAGGUCCCGCCUGCCCAGUGAAUAAUUUUUAACGGCCGCGGUAUCCUAACCGUGCAAAGGUAGCGUAAUCACUUGUCCCCUAAAUAGGGACCUGUAUGAAUGGCUAACUGAGGGCACACCUGUCUCCUGGCGCCAACUAAUGAAACUGAUCUACUGGUACAAAAGCCAGAAUUACCCCACAAGACGAGAAGACCCUGUGGAGCUUAUAACACCCCCACUACUAGUCGCACCCUCCAAUAACACGCACAACUAGCUAGCGGGCGGUUUAAGUUGGGGCGACUACGGAGCACAACAAACCCUCCAAGAAAUAUAAGGCUAACCCCCUACUAUUAGGCACACACGCCAACKAGGUAUAACCCNUCGACCCNGUAUAACUGAUCACCGAACCAAGUUACCCCAGGGAUAACAGCGC